AGGGAUUUAGCUCAGUGGUUACAGCACCUGCCUCACAAGCACAAGGUCCCAAGUUCAAUUCCCGGUAACCCCC
Molecule: non-coding RNA, 73 nt
Organism: Heterocephalus glaber (naked mole-rat)
Lineage: Eukaryota; Metazoa; Chordata; Mammalia; Rodentia; Bathyergidae
Source: Rfam